UCUUUAUUUUAAAAAUUUUAUUACUUAAGUAGUGUGAAUAUAUGUAUUAAAUAGUGUAGAAAAUUGUUAUUUUUUUUAUGUUUGAAACUUAAAAGGCUUGGCGGUGUUAUAUAUCCUUCCAGAGGAGUUUGCUUAUUUAUUUGAUAAUCCCCAAUUUAUACUUACUUUUUUUUGAAUUACUUAAUCAGUUUGUAUAUUGCUGUCAUCAGUUUAUUUUGUAAAAAUUAUGUAAGAAACUUAAUAAUUGAGGAGUUAUUAUGUCAAGUCAAAAUGCAGCUAAUAGAAAAGGUUUAUAAAGUGAGCUACAGUUUAUAAUUUUUAAUCGGAUUAAAUUGNGUAAUCGGUUUUUGAAGUUGGAUUUGGUAGUAAUAUUAUAAUAGGGAGUUUUUAUGAAUUAGGUUUUAUAAUGCGU
This 412-nucleotide ribosomal RNA is filed under the name Euprymna berryi. RNAcentral's name for it is "partial 12S ribosomal RNA". The record is from RNAcentral. Lineage: Eukaryota; Metazoa; Mollusca; Cephalopoda; Sepiida; Sepiolidae.